Molecule: ribosomal RNA, 2835 nt
Filed under: Staphylococcus aureus
Lineage: Bacteria; Bacillati; Bacillota; Bacilli; Caryophanales; Staphylococcaceae
Description: partial 23S ribosomal RNA
Rfam family: Bacterial large subunit ribosomal RNA
Source: RNAcentral
UAAGUAAGCUUUGAUCCAGAGAUUUCCGAAUGGGGAAACCCAGCAUGAGUUAUGUCAUGUUAUCGAUAUGUGAAUACAUAGCAUAUCAGAAGGCACACCCGGAGAACUGAAACAUCUUAGUACCCGGAGGAAGAGAAAGAAAAUUCGAUUCCCUUAGUAGCGGCGAGCGAAACGGGAAGAGCCCAAACCAACAAGCUUGCUUGUUGGGGUUGUAGGACACUCUAUACGGAGUUACAAAGGACGACAUUAGACGAAUCAUCUGGAAAGAUGAAUCAAAGAAGGUAAUAAUCCUGUAGUCGAAAAUGUUGUCUCUCUUGAGUGGAUCCUGAGUACGACGGAGCACGUGAAAUUCCGUCGGAAUCUGGGAGGACCAUCUCCUAAGGCUAAAUACUCUCUAGUGACCGAUAGUGAACCAGUACCGUGAGGGAAAGGUGAAAAGCACCCCGGAAGGGGAGUGAAAUAGAACCUGAAACCGUGUGCUUACAAGUAGUCAGAGCCCGUUAAUGGGUGAUGGCGUGCCUUUUGUAGAAUGAACCGGCGAGUUACGAUUUGAUGCAAGGUUAAGCAGUAAAUGUGGAGCCGUAGCGAAAGCGAGUCUGAAUAGGGCGUUUAGUAUUUGGUCGUAGACCCGAAACCAGGUGAUCUACCCUUGGUCAGGUUGAAGUUCAGGUAACACUGAAUGGAGGACCGAACCGACUUACGUUGAAAAGUGAGCGGAUGAACUGAGGGUAGCGGAGAAAUUCCAAUCGAACCUGGAGAUAGCUGGUUCUCUCCGAAAUAGCUUUAGGGCUAGCCUCAAGUGAUGAUUAUUGGAGGUAGAGCACUGUUUGGACGAGGGGCCCCUCUCGGGUUACCGAAUUCAGACAAACUCCGAAUGCCAAUUAAUUUAACUUGGGAGUCAGAACAUGGGUGAUAAGGUCCGUGUUCGAAAGGGAAACAGCCCAGACCACCAGCUAAGGUCCCAAAAUAUAUGUUAAGUGGAAAAGGAUGUGGCGUUGCCCAGACAACUAGGAUGUUGGCUUAGAAGCAGCCAUCAUUUAAAGAGUGCGUAAUAGCUCACUAGUCGAGUGACACUGCGCCGAAAAUGUACCGGGGCUAAACAUAUUACCGAAGCUGUGGAUUGUCCUUUGGACAAUGGUAGGAGAGCGUUCUAAGGGCGUUGAAGCAUGAUCGCAAGGACAUGUGGAGCGCUUAGAAGUGAGAAUGCCGGUGUGAGUAGCGAAAGACGGGUGAGAAUCCCGUCCACCGAUUGACUAAGGUUUCCAGAGGAAGGCUCGUCCGCUCUGGGUUAGUCGGGUCCUAAGCUGAGGCCGACAGGCGUAGGCGAUGGAUAACAGGUUGAUAUUCCUGUACCACCUAUAAUCGUUUUAAUCGAUGGGGGGACGCAGUAGGAUAGGCGAAGCGUGCGAUUGGAUUGCACGUCUAAGCAGUAAGGCUGAGUAUUAGGCAAAUCCGGUACUCGUUAAGGCUGAGCUGUGAUGGGGAGAAGACAUUGUGUCUUCGAGUCGUUGAUUUCACACUGCCGAGAAAAGCCUCUAGAUAGAAAAUAGGUGCCCGUACCGCAAACCGACACAGGUAGUCAAGAUGAGAAUUCUAAGGUGAGCGAGCGAACUCUCGUUAAGGAACUCGGCAAAAUGACCCCGUAACUUCGGGAGAAGGGGUGCUCUUUAGGGUUAACGCCCAGAAGAGCCGCAGUGAAUAGGCCCAAGCGACUGUUUAUCAAAAACACAGGUCUCUGCUAAACCGUAAGGUGAUGUAUAGGGGCUGACGCCUGCCCGGUGCUGGAAGGUUAAGAGGAGUGGUUAGCUUCUGCGAAGCUACGAAUCGAAGCCCCAGUAAACGGCGGCCGUAACUAUAACGGUCCUAAGGUAGCGAAAUUCCUUGUCGGGUAAGUUCCGACCCGCACGAAAGGCGUAACGAUUUGGGCACUGUCUCAACGAGAGACUCGGUGAAAUCAUAGUACCUGUGAAGAUGCAGGUUACCCGCGACAGGACGGAAAGACCCCGUGGAGCUUUACUGUAGCCUGAUAUUGAAAUUCGGCACAGCUUGUACAGGAUAGGUAGGAGCCUUUGAAACGUGAGCGCUAGCUUACGUGGAGGCGCUGGUGGGAUACUACCCUAGCUGUGUUGGCUUUCUAACCCGCACCACUUAUCGUGGUGGGAGACAGUGUCAGGCGGGCAGUUUGACUGGGGCGGUCGCCUCCUAAAAGGUAACGGAGGCGCUCAAAGGUUCCCUCAGAAUGGUUGGAAAUCAUUCAUAGAGUGUAAAGGCAUAAGGGAGCUUGACUGCGAGACCUACAAGUCGAGCAGGGUCGAAAGACGGACUUAGUGAUCCGGUGGUUCCGCAUGGAAGGGCCAUCGCUCAACGGAUAAAAGCUACCCCGGGGAUAACAGGCUUAUCUCCCCCAAGAGUUCACAUCGACGGGGAGGUUUGGCACCUCGAUGUCGGCUCAUCGCAUCCUGGGGCUGUAGUCGGUCCCAAGGGUUGGGCUGUUCGCCCAUUAAAGCGGUACGCGAGCUGGGUUCAGAACGUCGUGAGACAGUUCGGUCCCUAUCCGUCGUGGGCGUAGGAAAUUUGAGAGGAGCUGUCCUUAGUACGAGAGGACCGGGAUGGACAUACCUCUGGUGUACCAGUUGUCGUGCCAACGGCAUAGCUGGGUAGCUAUGUGUGGACGGGAUAAGUGCUGAAAGCAUCUAAGCAUGAAGCCCCCCUCAAGAUGAGAUUUCCCAACUUCGGUUAUAAGAUCCCUCAAAGAUGAUGAGGUUAAUAGGUUCGAGGUGGAAGCAUGGUGACAUGUGGAGCUGACGAAUACUAAUCGAUCGAAGACUUAAUCAA